This 467-nucleotide ribosomal RNA is filed under the name uncultured bacterium. RNAcentral describes it as "partial 16S ribosomal RNA". It matches the Rfam family "Bacterial small subunit ribosomal RNA", at positions 28 to 507 of the family's 1533-position model. The record is from RNAcentral.
GACGAACGCUGGCGGCGUGCUUAACACAUGCAAGUCGAACGGAAAGGCCCUGCUUUUGUGGGGUGCUCGAGUGGCGAACGGGUGAGUAACACGUGAGUAACCUGCCCUUGACUUUGGGAUAACUUCAGGAAACUGGGGCUAAUACCGGAUAGGAGCUCCUGCUGCAUGGUGGGGUUGGAAAGUUUCGGCGGUUGGGGAUGGACUCGCGGCUUAUUAGCUUGUUGGUGGGGUAGUGGCUUACCAAGGCUUUGACGGGUAGCCGGCCUGAGAGGGUGACCGGCCACAUUGGGACUGAGAUACGGCCCAGACUCCUACGGGAGGCAGCAGUGGGGAAUAUUGCACAAUGGGCGGAAGCCUGAUGCAGCAACGCCGCGUGCGGGAUGACGGCCUUCGGGUUGUAAACCGCUUUCGCCUGUGACGAAGCGUGAGUGACGGUAAUGGGUAAAGAAGCACCGGCUAACUACGUG